This 86-nucleotide transfer RNA is filed under the name Rhodotorula toruloides. RNAcentral describes it as "tRNA-Ile (AAT) cove score=59.88". Lineage: Eukaryota; Fungi; Basidiomycota; Microbotryomycetes; Sporidiobolales; Sporidiobolaceae. The record is from RNAcentral.
GCUCGGUUGAUCUAGUUGGUUAUGAUGCGGACCUAAUACUUUCUGUGUUUAGUCCGAUGUCGGCGGUUCGAUCCCGCCACUGAGCA